AAGUCGUAACAAGGUUUCCGUAGGUGAACCUGCGGAAGGAUCAUUAACACGUAUCCAACGUUAAACCCCCCCGUGAACUCGCACUUUAGCAAUCCCUGGUAAAUCAUUGCCGAACAGUUUUGAUUCAGGGACUUCUGCGUAGACUGUGCUUGAGCGUGAGGCAAGUGGCCUGGCAUUCCUCUGCUUGUUGGUGUCUGAAAGUGUCACCAGCUCUGUACGAAUGGCGCAGUCACGAUCGCUAGAGGCCGACACGGCCGGCAAACUCGAACAACUGUUAACAAUGGAUAUCUUGGUUCUC
This 298-nucleotide unclassified non-coding RNA is filed under the name fungal sp. RNAcentral's name for it is "partial internal transcribed spacer region". The stretch from base 1 to 46 matches the Rfam family "Eukaryotic small subunit ribosomal RNA", at positions 1786 to 1831 of the family's 1831-position model. Lineage: Eukaryota; Fungi. The record is from RNAcentral.